This is a long non-coding RNA of Telopea speciosissima, 497 nucleotides long. RefSeq lists it as uncharacterized. The transcript is spliced from 2 exons. NCBI's taxonomy places the organism in Eukaryota, Viridiplantae, Streptophyta, Magnoliopsida, Proteales, Proteaceae. The record is from RefSeq and is a predicted model, not a curated record.
UGUCUUUGUCUGGGUUUUGCUGCUUCUUUCUAAGAUGGCCUGGAAAACUCUCAUCUUCCUCAUUGCAUCCUUUCUUUUGUUCGCAACAACAGUAAGCCACUCCCUCUUCUAUAGAUUUUGCCUUUUUUAAGUUCCUGAUGGCUCAAACGCAUGAUUUACUAUUUGGGUUUUGUAGGCUUCAUCUAAUGAAGAGGAGAUCUUGUUGGAGACUGUAGCAAAGGCACCCGUCAAGGCACCUGCACCUGCACCAACACCAGUCAAGGCCCCACCACCAAUUCUUCCACCGGUGAGUACUACAGAGUGUCCACGUCUGUGUGGAGUGAGGUGUUCGCUGCAUUCGAGGAAGAGGCACUGCACAAGAGUUUGUAUGACUUGCUGCCAACGCUGCAAAUGUGUUCCACCAGGCACCUACGGUAACAAGGAGAUGUGCGGCAAGUGCUACACUGAUAUGACAACCCACGGCAACCGCCCCAAGUGCCCUUGAAGCUUUCCAAACU